RNAcentral lists this ribosomal RNA (549 nucleotides) under uncultured Glomeromycotina. Its description in RNAcentral is "SSU rRNA". It matches the Rfam family "Eukaryotic small subunit ribosomal RNA", at positions 548 to 1098 of the family's 1831-position model. The record is from RNAcentral. Lineage: Eukaryota; Fungi; Glomeromycota.
UUGGAGGGCAAGUCUGGUGCCAGCAGCCGCGGUAAUUCCAGCUCCAAUAGCGUAUAUUAAAGUUGUUGCAGUUAAAAAGCUCGUAGUUGAAUUUCGGGAUCAGCAAGUUGGUCGUGCCUCUGGUACGUACUGGCUUUACUGGUUCCUCCUUCUUGAAGAACUGUAAUGUCAUUAAUUUGGUGUUGCAGGGAAACAGGACUGUUACUUUGAAAAAAUUAGAGUGUUUAAAGCAAGCUAACGCUUGAAUACAUUAGCAUGGAAUAAUGAAAUAGGACGUUUGAUCCUAUUUUGUUGGUUUCUAGGAUUGACGUAAUGAUUAAUAGGGAUAGUUGGGGGCAUUAGUAUUCAAUUGUCAGAGGUGAAAUUCUUGGAUUUAUUGAAGACUAACUACUGCGAAAGCAUUUGCCAAGGAUGUUUUCAUUAAUCAAGAACGAAAGUUAGGGGAUCGAAGACGAUCAGAUACCGUCGUAGUCUUAACCAUAAACUAUGCCGACUAGGGAUCGGAUGAUGUUAAUUUUUUAAUGACUCAUUCGGCGCCUUACGGGAAAC